Small nucleolar RNA from Capsicum annuum, 107 nucleotides. The record is from RefSeq and is a predicted model, not a curated record. NCBI's taxonomy places the organism in Eukaryota, Viridiplantae, Streptophyta, Magnoliopsida, Solanales, Solanaceae.
UGAUGAUGGUGAGGGCAAUUUUUUAGCAUAGUCUAGAAUCUUUCCCAAGCUUGGUAAAUAUUUUCUCCAUCUUUCUACAUGAAACUUAAAAUCUCACUUUUCAAAUA